UCAUAUUUUCUCUCUCUCUCAAAAUAAAUAAACUUAAAAAAAAAAAAAAAAAGAGCUUAAAAAAAAAAGGUAACACCUGAGCUUGGUUGAGUACAUUUUCACUAGACAGAGAAACAGUGGUUCCCAAACUGAAGCAUGCGUUCAAAUUCCCUGGAGGACUUGUCAAAACUCAGAAUGCUGGUCCCCAUGCCCAGUGUAUCUGAUUCAGGAGGUCAAGGGUAAGGCCCAAGAAUUGGCAUUUCUAACAAGCCCCUGGAGGUGUAGCCACUGUGGUCCAGGGACCACACUUUGAGAACCACUGAGCUAGAUCAAGAAGAGGAGAAAGAGUGUGGCAGGAGGCAAGGGAACCCGCGCAGGGACUCGAGGGGUGAAAAGUAACAGAUGUUUAGAGAGUGAAGAGCAAAUCUGUGAGGCUCAGGCAUGGGGGGCUGCCAGGUGCAAAUGAUGAUGGACUCGUGUGCCAAGCCUCCACGUUUGGACUCGAUCCUGGAAGUGAAGGGCAGCCAAAGGAGGUUCUUGCAGAGGGAAGAACAUGAAGAGGUUGGCACUUCAGCAAGAUCACUUGGGAGGGCAGGUGGAGUGGGGAGGAGGGAAAGGAGGCAGAGGGACUAGUUUACAGGCUGUUACAACCAGCCUGUCAGAUCCCGUGAGCCUUGGUCUUACUGGCACCCAGGGUCCCGGCAGCAGAAAGUCCUCGUGUUCGUGUAAAAACAGCGCCACAGACAAGCUCUCGCCGAGUGGCGAGCAUCGUCUCAUCAAAUCCUCCUGACAGCCUGUGGUCAGAUGCCACAGUGGAAGCUGAGUUCAGAAGCCUGCCUAAGGGUAGGACAGAACCCCGAAGGUGAAGCCCCUUCUCUUUCUACCACUCCACUUUUCCCCACGUCUGCAUUUUUUAGGAGCCUGCCUCGGUCCUCCAGGGGCUUUGCGGCUGUGUGUCUUGCGAGCAUGUUGUGUUGUAAGUGCUGGACACUGUGAUGUAGUUGCCUGCCAAUCCCCUCCUGUCCCUGUUGCAACAAGGUAGCCUCUUUCUCAUCUCUCUUGCAGUGGACCUUGACUCCCCAGGAUCUGGGGCCACAUCUGGGAAUUCCUGCAGUCCCCAAGUGUCGUGAGUGGUCAUCACUCAGCAUGGUAGCUCUCCUUCACAUGCGGGUCUCCCUGAUGGAAUAGACUGUUGUCGAGGGUGGAGACACAGCUUAGAGGAGCUACUCCAGCAAGUGCUGGUAAAUGUCUGAAGGGAAGAAACUGUUUCUGGAUUUUGCUCGUCUACGUCUCCUCUCAGACUUCGCCCUUCUGAGCUGUCGUGUUCUAGUUGCCUUCUCCGAGCUGCUUGCGUUUGCUGGAUCUUGGAGAGGCCUCAAAACCACAUUCUGUAAGCAGGGUGUGUGCACGCAUGCAUGUAUAGAUGCACGAACAUGCAAUCCGGUUAUUCUAGUUACACAGCAUCACACUGAAAAAACCCCAGAGCACCAGGCUGUCCUCAUUUAUGAGCUUAAAAAUAACAACCCCUUCCAUUCA
Long non-coding RNA from Leopardus geoffroyi (Geoffroy's cat), 1515 nucleotides. RefSeq lists it as uncharacterized. Lineage: Eukaryota; Metazoa; Chordata; Mammalia; Carnivora; Felidae. The transcript is spliced from 2 exons. The record is from RefSeq and is a predicted model, not a curated record.